RNAcentral lists this ribosomal RNA (682 nucleotides) under Dyella jiangningensis. Its description in RNAcentral is "bacterial LSU rRNA". It matches the Rfam family "Bacterial large subunit ribosomal RNA", at positions 2248 to 2925 of the family's 2925-position model. Lineage: Bacteria; Pseudomonadati; Pseudomonadota; Gammaproteobacteria; Lysobacterales; Rhodanobacteraceae. The record is from RNAcentral.
GGGACCGUGUGUGGUGGGUAGUUUGACUGGGGCGGUCUCCUCCCAAAGAGUAACGGAGGAGCACGAAGGUACGCUCAGCGCGGUCGGACAUCGCGCACUGUGUGCAAAGGCAUAAGCGUGCUUGACUGCGAGAUCGACGGAUCAAGCAGGUACGAAAGUAGGUCUUAGUGAUCCGGUGGUUCUGUAUGGAAGGGCCAUCGCUCAACGGAUAAAAGGUACUCCGGGGAUAACAGGCUGAUACCGCCCAAGAGUUCAUAUCGACGGCGGUGUUUGGCACCUCGAUGUCGGCUCAUCACAUCCUGGGGCUGUAGCCGGUCCCAAGGGUAUGGCUGUUCGCCAUUUAAAGUGGUACGCGAGCUGGGUUCAGAACGUCGUGAGACAGUUCGGUCCCUAUCUGUCGUGGGCGUUGGAGAUUUGAGAGGGGCUGCUCCUAGUACGAGAGGACCGGAGUGGACGUUCCGCUGGUGUUCGGGUUGUCAUGCCCAUGGCAUUGCCCGGUAGCUACGAACGGAAGCGAUAACCGCUGAAAGCAUCUAAGCGGGAAGCGCGCCUCAAGAUGAGAUCUCCCGAGACUUCGAGUCUCCUUAAGGCACCAUCAAGACUAGGUGGUUGAUAGGCGCGGUGUGGAAGUGCAGCAAUGCAUUGAGCUUACGCGUACUAAUGAGCCGUGCGGCUUGACCAU